Non-coding RNA from Rhipicephalus microplus (southern cattle tick), 73 nucleotides. Lineage: Eukaryota; Metazoa; Arthropoda; Arachnida; Ixodida; Ixodidae. The record is from the annotation of a RefSeq genome assembly.
ACCCGACUAGCUCAGUCGGUAGAGCAUGAGACUCUUAAUUUUGUGGUUGUGGGUUCGAGCACCACGUUGGGCA